GGCUUCGUAGCUCAGCUAGUAGAGCAUGCGCGUACAAAGCGUAGGCGGUGUCCCUGCGCGGGUUCGAAUCCCACCGAGGCUA
Non-coding RNA from Echinostoma caproni, 82 nucleotides. The record is from Rfam. Lineage: Eukaryota; Metazoa; Platyhelminthes; Trematoda; Plagiorchiida; Echinostomatidae.